AAUUAAAUUUUAGGAAAAACUUUAAAUACCACCCCUAUAGUUUUGCACUUUCUCACUUGAGUACUCUGUGAUUUAAAGUGCAUCACUUUCGUACUCUGUGAUUUUUUUUUUUUUAUUAUUUGCUUAACUAUUUUUUUCGUUAAAUCAGUGAUAAAAUUAAAAUUAAAAUGUAUUAAAGUGAAUAUUCGAUAAACUAUAGAUAAGGUAUCUGAAAAUUUUUAUAUAUGAUUUAAUAAAAAGUUAACGAAAAGGCUGACGAAAAGUAAAAAAAUAAAACCAUAAAAUAUAAAAUUGAUACAUAUUAAACUAUAAAAUACUAAAAUAAAAAAAAAUGAAACUACAAAAUGGUAUUUGAAGUUUAUCCUAAAUUCUAUGAAGGAGUGAACAGAUGAUGCAUGCAUUUUGA
Molecule: long non-coding RNA, 406 nt
Filed under: Ananas comosus (pineapple)
Lineage: Eukaryota; Viridiplantae; Streptophyta; Magnoliopsida; Poales; Bromeliaceae
Description: long non-coding RNA (ACOM_LNC040988)
Source: RNAcentral